UCUCAAUCAAGGUGUAGCCAUCACAGAGACGUGGCGAGACUAACAGAUGCGAUGGUGAUGGGAUCUAAAAUAUGCGAUGUGUGACGAAGAAACAGUCAAAAGGCUUUUGAUUUCUUGGAGGCAAAUAAAAAAUCAUAGGUGAUGGAGAUGCUUCUGGAUGAUGGCCAGACGUACCAACAAGUUUGGCUUCACCAAGCAGGAACAAUGAUUGUAUUGGUUUCAAACAAUAAAACCAAUUCCAACAAUAGGUUUCAGUUUCUUGAUUCGAUUUUCUGGUUGUAAUUCUUAUAUGUUUUCAGAUAAUGAAUCAUCUUGAUUUCUCUACUACUAGACUAUGUUCAUCUCCAUUUGAUUUCAAUUAAAUAAAGCUAGAUUUGUUGGG
Cynara cardunculus var. scolymus (artichoke) is the source of this 382-nucleotide long non-coding RNA. RefSeq lists it as uncharacterized. The transcript is spliced from 2 exons. Lineage: Eukaryota; Viridiplantae; Streptophyta; Magnoliopsida; Asterales; Asteraceae. The record is from RefSeq and is a predicted model, not a curated record.